This 88-nucleotide transfer RNA is filed under the name Candidatus Bathyarchaeota archaeon. RNAcentral describes it as "tRNA-Leu". It matches the Rfam family "tRNA". Rfam says of the family: Transfer RNA (tRNA) molecules are approximately 80 nucleotides in length. Their secondary structure includes four short double-helical elements and three loops (D, anti-codon, and T loops). Lineage: Archaea; Thermoproteati; Candidatus Bathyarchaeota. The record is from RNAcentral. RNAcentral also lists the same sequence under 1 other name.
GCAGAGGUCGCCGAGCUAGGUCAAAGGCGUAGGCUUCAGGAGCCUAUCUCGCAGGGGUUCGUGGGUUCAAAUCCCACCCUCUGCACCA